This is a long non-coding RNA of Hippoglossus stenolepis (Pacific halibut), 1411 nucleotides long. RefSeq lists it as uncharacterized. Lineage: Eukaryota; Metazoa; Chordata; Actinopteri; Pleuronectiformes; Pleuronectidae. The record is from RefSeq and is a predicted model, not a curated record. The transcript is spliced from 3 exons.
CUCAACCGUCAAGCACCUGCUCUGCUUCGUGUCUUCUUCUCCAGCUGAUCCAGGAAAAACACAAAGGAUAGGAACACGACAGUGAAUCAUCUGUGCAUGAAAUUAUAAUUGCUUAAAUGUCCUUCUGGAGAUUUCUUGGAAGAAUUAGACGUCCUCCUAUCGAACAUCCCAGAAAAUGGCCCUCCACUUGUCUUUCAACAUCCAGACAGAGAAGUCAUCUGACCUAUUACUUUUACUUUCUUCCUUUGCUCUCUCACUCAGUCCUUCCCCUCCUACUCACAAAGCUGGUAACCCCCUUGACUAUAUUUUCACCAGAAUUGUUUUACAUCUAACCUCACUGUAACCCCACUUCAUGUCUCUGACCACUUCUUUAUCUCUUACUCUCUCCCACUCUCACAAACUGACAAACCUAUCACUUCAACAGACUCUUUACCUGUCCGUCGCAACAUUAGCCCCCUCCCUCCCUCCUCUCUGGCUUCCUCUGUUUUAUCAGCCCUCCCUUCAACUCUCAGUCCUCCUCAGCUUCGUGGUUGUCUGACUCGGUGCGCGCCGACAGAGCCACUAUGUGAGAAUCAGAAAGGAAAUGGCGAAAAUCUUAACACCCUAAUGACCUGCUCACUUAUCAAUCUCUUCUCUCCUCUUUCUCUGCCUCUAUUUCUGCAGCCAAAAGCUCUUUUUACCAAACAAAAAAUUCAAUCCUCAUUUUCGAACCCCAAAAACCUGUUCUCCAUCUUUUCCAACCUCCUUGACCCCCCCUUACCCUCCUCCUUAGACCCUUCUACCAAGCCACUUUGUCAACUACUGUACAAAACAGAUAGAUGACAUAUGAUCCUCAUUUUCAAAUCCACCUUCUGUAAAUACAUUUCCAUCAACUUCAUCUUCAUCCCCUUCGCUUUUCUCUUUCACCCACCUGUCUCAUAAGUUCUUAUGCUGGUAGGAGAGCAUAAUAACUUAUAAGAACAUAAGUUCUUAUGCUUCUAGACAUUUCUGCUGGAUUUGACACAGUGAACCACCAGAUUUCCUCCCUUCAGGAUCUGGGUGACUCAGGCUCUACUCUCUCCCUGCUCUCAUCCUACCUCAAAGACCGCACUUGGUAACUUGGAGAGGAUCUGUGGCCGAACCUUGUCCUGUCACUACUGGGGUAGCAGCAAGAACCUCUGCCUGUCUGACUGACAUCUCUCAGUGGAUGUCUGCACACCACCUGAAAAUUAACCUUGACAAGACCGAACUACUUUUACUUCCAGGGAAAGGCUCUCCCACCCAUGACCUUACUAUUACCAUUGACAACUCCGUGGUAGCCCCCACCCAGACUGCUAGGAACCUGGGUGUGACACUCGACUGUCAACUCUCCCUUACUUCCAACAUUACUGCAACAACACGUUCCUGUAGAUUCACGCUGCACAACAUCAGG